UAGCCAGACUCCUACGGGAGGCAGCAGUGGGGGAUAUUGCACAAUGGGGGAAACCCUGAUGCAGCGACGCCGCGUGAGUGAAGAAGUAUUUCGGUAUGUAAAGCUCUAUCAGCAGGGAAGAAGAUGACAGUACCUGAGUAAGAAGCCCCAGCUAACUACGUGCCAGCAGCCGCGGUAAUACGUAGGGGGCAAGCGUUAUCCGGAUUUACUGGGGGUAAAGGGAGCGUAGACGGUUAUGUAAGUCUGGAGUGAAAGCCCGGGGCCCACCCCCGGGACUGCUGUGGAAACUGUGUAACUAGAGUACAGGAGGGGCAGGCGGAAUUCCUGGUGUAGCGGUGAAAUGCAUAGAUAUCACGCAGAACUCCGAUUGCGAAGGCAGCUUACUAAGCCAUAACUGACACUGAAGCACGAAAGCGUGGGUAUCGAACAGGAUUAGAUACCCGCGUACAC
This 450-nucleotide ribosomal RNA is filed under the name uncultured bacterium. Its description in RNAcentral is "bacterial SSU rRNA". It matches the Rfam family "Bacterial small subunit ribosomal RNA", at positions 328 to 795 of the family's 1533-position model. The record is from RNAcentral.